This 3214-nucleotide long non-coding RNA is filed under the name Homo sapiens (human). RNAcentral describes it as "HSALNT0324095". The record is from RNAcentral. Lineage: Eukaryota; Metazoa; Chordata; Mammalia; Primates; Hominidae.
GUUUUGUAAUUCCAUCAUGAGUUGUACUCAACUGUUAUCCAACAUAUCUUGGAGCAUGCACCAGGAUGCUCCCUGACACAGCUCACUUUGCAAGUAAUUCUUAGACACACACUUUCUCCACCAGGCCUGUCUAGUUGAAGUUCUCUAUAUCCCUGCCCCCCUCCCCACCCUGGUUAAGCAUAGGACUUCCAUGGUUACAUCCCAUUUAUUCCUUUCCCAAACAUGCUUAAUGCAUUUCAUCUCCAGUUACAAACAUCGUCUGCUAAUGAACAAUGUAGAUAGUUACCAUGUUGUAUAAAUAGUUACUUAUUUCCCUUCGUUGUUGGUUUUAUCCAAUAAACUAGCCCGAUCAGCUUCAUUUUAUAUCACCUUAUCUCAUACAGAUGAGAAACUGUAUGUAUUUCAGCCUGUCUAAACUGGAGGUAACGCUAGACUGCAGUAUCCCUGCACAGUGUCGUAUUAGAAAUGGCACCCUAUAAAUUUUUUAUGAGUUAAUAAUGAUUGUGAUCCCAUUCCUAUUUUCUACAAGUUCUUCUGUUAUGGUGGCAAUUAAAUAGCCUCACCUUCCUUUCACUUUCUGCAAACCUGCUGCAAGUCAUCAUUAACUUUCUUAAUUGGUAGCGGCUCUGAAUUCCAGUCUUUCAGAGUUCCCGUAAACAGCAUCUUUCUUAAUACUUAUGUCAUAAUGUUUUUCUCCUUUCCUUGCAUUUCAUUCUGCCUUUGGGCAGGAACAGCAUCAUUUCCUGCUCUUCUGGGGUUUCAACACUGACUGCAAAGCACCCUUGCUCAUCUCACUGGGAGAUUCUGCAGCCAAGCAGAGAUUUGCAUAAAGCCCAUCCACCCUUCACCAGCACAGGAUACGCAGACUUAACUGCAGGGACUCUUGGUGACUAGUCUCUGUGGUGCACACUCUCCACCCUACCACCAAAAAGGUCCCCAGUACCCUAAAAGGAACUAUGUACUCAAAUAUCACCUCAAAUAAGAUGAGGUCUUUCUGAGAGAAAAGAGAUGUUGAUGCACGUGACGGGGAGGGCAUAGGAGAGGGUUGAUAUAAAAUGCAAUUACAGCCUCUUAUGCUUUCCAAAGUGGGGGAUGAUUCAAUGAUUCCUGACUGGUCCACAGCCAUAUAUCAAUUGAGGUUAUAAUACUAAUUUGAAUUGCAAAUCUCUGAAAAGAAGGGGACAAGCUAAGGAGAUAAAAUUUAACAGGCCUCUUCCUCCUGCUUGCCACCUCUCAGUCACAAGACGGCUGCUGCGACUCAGGCUCAUGUCCCAAUUCAAGGCAGCAAGAAGGCCAUGGAGCGGCACCUGCCAGCAGAUGCCCCUGCAGGCCAUCUCUCCAGGCUCAGGAACCUAAAGAAGAAUCUACCCAGAUGUGGUGGCUCACACCUGUGAUCCCACCACUUUGGGAGGCUGAGGCAAGAGGAUCACUUGAGCCCAGGAGUUGGAGACCAACGUAGGCAAUACAGCAAGACUCCCAUCUCUACAAAAAAAAAAAAGAAAGAAAGAAAGAAAGAAAAGAAAUUAGCUGGCUGUGGUGCUGCACAUUUGUAAUACCAGCUACUCUAGAGGCUGAGGCUGGAGGAUCACUUGAGCCGAGGAGUGAGCUAUGACCACACCAUUGCAUUUCAGCCUCAGUGACAGAGCAAGGCCCUGCCUCAAAAAAAAAAAAAAAAAAAGAAAAGAAUAAGAUAAAAUAAAUAAUACAGGAGAACCUAGUGCUCAGGUUCUCUAGUGAAGAGGAAGGCAAAAGAUAGAAAGGUCAGACAAACUUAAACAUGCAUUCCAAGAUCGGCCUGGGUCCGCCCGUAGACAUGAAGGAAUCUUCUGGUGGAAAGUUAGGCAGGGAAACGGACACUGCUAUGAGCAUGUCUUCCUGGGCAGCUUGCGAUGGUCAGGAGGAGGUGGUUGUUCCUCAGCAGCGGUGCUUCCGAUGAAGCCCCAUGUUGUAGUGGAAGACAAGCCAUUCCUGUCUGACCUUCUGUGCCGCGCCUAGGCUUCCAAAAGCUGCUAUCGCCAAGAUCCAUUUCCGUUCACCUUUAAACUGCUUGUUAUGGGGAGGAGUCAGCCAGCCAUGAUGCAUACUUGUUACAGAAAGAAACGCCCACGUUGAGCUCUCCUGAUAAGAAGAGAGAGCAUUCGUCAUUGUCUGUAUCUGUCAUCUGAAGAAGGAACCAAUGUCAAAAAUCCCACACAUUCUCCUCCCGCAAGUCACAGAGUAAGCCUCCCAUUCUUGAGCUCGUUCAUUCACCAAACACAUUCUGAUCUCUCCUGUGCCCAGGCGGUGGGAUUCAGAGAAGAAGUGCUGCCUAGUAGUCAGCACCCAGUGCCAGGAAAACAGGACAAGGGGAGUUGUCGGGGGAGACACCAGGAUUGAAGUUGCUUUUACUAAAAAACAUUUUUUUUAUCUUGUUAACAAAUAUAUUUACCAUGGUACAUGGUGGCAAUGCUCUCAGUUUUAAAACACAGCAAUUAUCUUCCAGUGGUCACUAAUUAAUCCAGGUGUGGCUAGGAACAGCUGGAUACUGAUCUGUGUGAUGAUGGCACCUCUAUCAUCAGGCUGCCAUUGCUGGCACUUUGGGCAAGGUGGACUGGGGUUCUGCUCUGGGGCUGUGUGCCCAAGGUUUACACCUCACUAUUUUACAGCACACUGGAGCUCCCAACAGUCCCCGAAGGUCUGGAGAUCACCAAUGGGCAGGAGAGAAGGGAGGGGUUUAGACAUCAGGGAGCCAAGUUCUACAGCAUCUUCUAGAUCCAGGCUAUCGAGCACUUGAAAUGCGGCUAAGUCUGAAUUGAGAUGUGCUGUGUGUAAGAGACACAACAGAUUUUGAAGACAGUAUGAGAAAAAGAACAUAAAAUAUCUCAGUAAUUUUAUAUUGAUUACAUGUUGAAAUGAUACUAAUUUUUGAUAUACUGGGUUAAAUAAAAUAGAUUAUUAAAAUUAACUUCAUCUCUUUCUUUUGACCUUUUCAACAUGGCCAUUAGAAAAUUCAGCUUACGUAGUAGGCUCACUUUCUACUGCACAGCCCUGGAUGUCAAACUCAAUGAGAGCGGUGUCUGUACCUGUAUCUGCUCAUCCAGUCCAUAAAAGUCAGCACAGUACCUAGCACUGAAAGUACUCCAUAAAUAUUUGAGGGAUGGACAAAAGUACAAGUGAACAAAUAGCAUCUGCUCCUCAUUUCUGGUAAGUCAAGGAGCAGUUCUACCCUCUCCUU